CAGUAGCCGCGGUAAUACGAAGGAGGCUAGCGUUGCUCGGAAUGACUGGGCGUAAAGGGCGCGUAGGCGGCGAUCAAAGUCAGGCGUGAAAUUCCUGGGCUCAACCUGGGGGCUGCGCUUGAUACUUGGUUGCUUGAGUGGGGAAGAGGGUCGUGGAAUUCCCAGUGUAGAGGUGAAAUUCGUAGAUAUUGGGAAGAACACCGGUGGCGAAGGCGGCGACCUGGUCCUUGACUGACGCUGAGGCGCGAAAGCGUGGGGAGCAAACAGGAUUAGAUACCCCCGUAGUCCCUGUCUCUUAUAC
RNAcentral lists this ribosomal RNA (301 nucleotides) under uncultured bacterium. Its description in RNAcentral is "partial 16S ribosomal RNA". It matches the Rfam family "Bacterial small subunit ribosomal RNA", at positions 509 to 807 of the family's 1533-position model. The record is from RNAcentral.